UUUCUCCCCAAUCUAAUUACACACACGUUUAGCUGUGUAGCUCAUUCAACAGAUAGCACAAUCUUUACAAGUUAUACCUUGUAAA
Melanotaenia boesemani (Boeseman's rainbowfish) is the source of this 85-nucleotide long non-coding RNA. RefSeq lists it as uncharacterized. NCBI's taxonomy places the organism in Eukaryota, Metazoa, Chordata, Actinopteri, Atheriniformes, Melanotaeniidae. The record is from RefSeq and is a predicted model, not a curated record. The transcript has 3 exons.